CGCCGAUGCCCUCCUUGGGCGUUUCCUCCCUAGACUUGGGCCGCUUGCGGAAACGCGAGCGGCCUCUUUAUUUGGCUGG
Molecule: small RNA, 79 nt
Organism: Methylocella silvestris BL2
Lineage: Bacteria; Pseudomonadati; Pseudomonadota; Alphaproteobacteria; Hyphomicrobiales; Beijerinckiaceae
Rfam family: Makes More Granules Regulator RNA (mmgR)
About the family: SuhB later renamed mmgR (makes more granules regulator) was a putative non-coding RNA found multiple times in the Agrobacterium tumefaciens genome and related alpha-proteobacteria. Other non-coding RNAs uncovered in the same analysis include: speF, ybhL, metA, and serC.
Source: Rfam